CCUACGGGGGACAGCAGUGAGGAAUAUUGGUCAAUGGACGAGAGUCUGAACCAGCCAAGUAGUGUGAAGGAUGACUGCCCUAUGGGUUGUAAACUUCUUUUAUAUGGGAAUAAAGUGUUCCACGUGUGGGAUUUUGUAUGUACCAUAUGAAUAAGGAUCGGCUAACUCCGUGCCAGCAGCCGCGGUAAUACGGAGGAUCCGAGCGUUAUCCGGAUUUAUUGGGUUUAAAGGGAGCGUAGGUGGAUUGUUAAGUCAGUUGUGAAAGUUUGCGGCUCAACCGUAAAAUUGCAGUUGAAACUGGGAGUCUUGAGUGCAGUAGAGGUAGGCGGAAUUCGUGGUGUAGCGGUGAAAUGCUUAGAUAUCACGAAGAACUCCGAUUGCGAAGGCAGUUCACUGGACUGCAACUGACGCUGAGGCUCGAAAGUGUGGGUAUCAUACAGGAUUAGAUACCCGAGUAGUC
RNAcentral lists this ribosomal RNA (460 nucleotides) under uncultured bacterium. RNAcentral's name for it is "partial 16S ribosomal RNA". It matches the Rfam family "Bacterial small subunit ribosomal RNA", at positions 338 to 795 of the family's 1533-position model. The record is from RNAcentral.